GCCAUAGAGGCUCCAUGUUAAAUAUUACCCUCCAUUGUAUAGAGCAAGGAGACUGUUACGAGGAACCGCGUCCUUGCCAAAUUAGAUGUUUACCUUCAGAAAUUGUCCUGGAACAUGAUGAACAUUUUGUAAACCCGAGAAACAAGAAAGCCCAUGAGGGUGGGGAAUUUCCAAAGAACUAGAGAACAAGGAAGCAGAUGUCUUUGGAUAAGGGUCAUGAUUAAUAACCAAACUCACCUGUGAAAAAAAGGGGAGGAGAAUAAAAAAGGCGGCGGCAGGCUCUCUGAGAGGCUCCCGACUCUAUCUCUGCGUCUUUUUCUUCAUCCUCACUCCCCCAUUCAGGUGCUGUUCGACAAGUGAUGGCUGGCUCCGUCACGGGUGGUGCCCGAACAGGGACUUGAAUACGGGGGACCAUAGUGAAGGACACCGUGGAUCGUGAGCUUGGAUAAGACGCUGAAGGUGCCAGGUGGCUGCCUGAAAGAUGGUUUGCGGGAAAUUCUCCUGCCCCUCAGGAUGAUCCCGACAACUGUCCUGCUGAUAAAUCUAAUGAUGAUGCUUAAUGAGAAGGUUUAUUGGACUUAUGUACCUGAUCCACCUGUUGUACAUCCAACGAGCUGAAAAAAUGGAGAAGUAAUGGUAUGGGUGAACAAUACCAGGCUGUUGCAUGAGCCGGCGGCCCCUGACAAGAACGAGGUCCGAUUGUUCAACUACACGGGAUCAGAAACCGGAACCCCCAUAUGUUUCUCCAAAAUCAACAGAACUGAUCGAAUAAGACUGAGUGCUCGCACCCUGGCAGGAAGGCAGGUAGAUCAGUGCAAAGGCGGGAUCACUGGAGUCCAUCUACAUCUACCUGUGGGUAUGGAGACCACUGGUGUAGUUAGUGCCUCUGACUUUUAAUGCUCCAAUAAGACUAUUCCAUGGAAGAGAUGUGUGGCGGAUGCCUCUGUGAGAUACAAUAUUACUGGAUUUGAUACUUAUGUUUUAGACUGGUCUGAAAAUUCUUGUCAUCCCAAAAGAAAUGUCGCUGCAUAUGUCAUGCGCUCUUAGGUAUUGCUUGUAGGAAAUAUUAGUGUUCAGAAAGAUUAUGAUUAUUAUAAUGUAAUUUACUUCAAUUGUCAAAUAAGCAAUUGUGUCACCC
This is a non-coding RNA of Heterocephalus glaber (naked mole-rat), 1138 nucleotides long. NCBI's taxonomy places the organism in Eukaryota, Metazoa, Chordata, Mammalia, Rodentia, Bathyergidae. The record is from RefSeq and is a predicted model, not a curated record.